CAACCCCCUCUCACUUCACCUUCUCUGCAGAAACCCUAGAGACGCCGCCUUGAAACCCUCUGUCGGCGGAGACGCCUCAGACCAUCCCAAACACCACCAAUUUAACACCCUAGAUUCCCCGUCACCACCUCUUUUAUAAUAUCCAAACCGAUUCCCUCAAAUCCCCGCAUAGGUGUUCGAAUCUUAGAUCUAAACUCUGACCCCAAAAACCCGAAUUCAACCAAACCACCCCAAAACUAUACCCCACACUCUUCACACUCCUCUGAAACCUAAACUACCAUCACCUUCCCAAAAAACCCCACCCGUUUGUCCCAAUUUGGAAUCUGGUUCCAAGAAGAAAUUGAAAACCCUAUUUUGCUUCCCUUCUGAGUUCAAGAGGAUUUGAGGAUUGAUUUGGGGUCAAAAUUUAUGCCAGAUGAUUGUUCUUAUCAAGAGCAAUUGAUUAGUACCAAUUCUGGCACAUUUCAAAGUUCACCAAAGUUCACAUAUCAUCAAGAACCGGCAAACUUUGUUCAUACAUGCAAUAGGUAUUUAUUUUCAUUUCCUCUUCCCAUUUUUAUCCUUCUUCUCUUCGUCACCUUUUCUCUUCUACAUCACUUUGGUUUCCCCUCAUUUUUUCUGUUUCUUUGAUCAACAAAUGAAGCUUUAGGUUUUAGAUUUUGUUCUAUUCGUAUGUUUAAUCAGUAGUGUUAAGGCUCAUUAGUGUAGGCAUCUUCAUCAAAGUUCAAGUGUUCCAUUUCUUUGGCUGGGUUUUGUUUUUGUUUAAUUACAUGACUUAGAUUUCGGAUUUUAAGUUUGUUAAUUAGUUUUUUUGCUUAAUCUUUAAUAAUAGUCAGUUAGUUUAGGGGUAAUGUUUGAGUUUGCCAUAAGGUCAUUAGGGUUCCAGUUUUCAAUUUGGGUUUAUUUUGUGUUUAAUGCAAUUGAAAUCAGCAUGUUAGUAUCAUUUGAUUCCCUGUUAAUUGGCUGGUUUAAUUGCUUCAAAGGUUGAAAUAGGGCAUUCAUUGGUUGUUUCUUCCUAAAUGUCAGUUUCAAUUGCUCAAUUGUUGGUUAAUUUCUUAUUUCAUUUCAUGUUAAGUCUAUUUAGGUUUUAGAAAUUGACACCAUUUGAUUAUGUUUGCCUAUGGUUUCUGUUAGAAGAUUGUUUGCCUUGGUUUGUAAAUGCAUAGGACUUUUAGAGGGUUAAUUGAAUAACUAGGAACUUAAGGGGGUAAUUUGGGGAUUGUUAACCUGAGAGAAUAUUUAGUAACUGAUUGGAAAGCUUCUUAAAAUGUACAGGUGCCCAAAAUUGUUAGCAUAAGAGGCUAAAAAAUGAAAAUAUCUGAAAGGAAAGGGGCAGCUGUACAUAAGUCAGUUUUAAAAGAUGCCCUAUGAGAGGUAUUGGAAAAAGAACCUAUUUCCUUGACUUGGAAGGCACACAACAGAUUUCUGUUGUAUAAAUAAGGCUUUCCCCUCACUCUUCAUAUACGAAAAACAGACCUGAAAAUCUUUUCAAAAAAAAUCUCUCAAAUAGGAGGCUUUUCUCUUAUUCUGGGUGAAAAGAAAAAAAAAGAAAGAAAGAAAAAACUGAACAAUCUUGUUGGUAUUUCUGGGUUUUUGGAGUUCUUAUUACUUGAGGCUGAAGCUGUUUGCUGACUAUUUGCUUCCUUGCUCUCUAUUUGUCGAAGUAGCUGUGUUUUAUUUGAUAUUUUGGAGCAGAAUUUCAGGCACUAAGGUACACAUCAUGGCCUUAUGCCAAAAUACUUUUAAUCUUGACCUCACAUGAAUGCUAGAAGUGUUGUUUGAAUGAUAGAGUGUAUAUCUAUGUUGAUUCUUGUUUCAUAUGCUUGAAAACAUGCUUUUCUUGUGCUUCAAAUACCUUAGUUGAUAUCUGUUAGGCUUGAGCUCUAAGUACACUGUUUUUUAUCAUUCAUGUCUAACAUUUUGCUUUAUGGUUUGAGUUGUGAGUAUUGGCCAGGGGUCAGCAUGUGUGAAGUAUGGCUCUUGUUGGAUUUGAUCUCAACAUAAUCAGAUCCAUGAGAGUUAGAAGCUGAAAUUGAUAUUAUUCCUAUGUGGGAAGAGCUGGCAGCUUAUGGAGGAUUACAAUCUAAAUGUAGAUUUGGUUUUAGUGGUGUUGAGUAAUUUUGUUUGUUAUUUCAUAGGACAAGGCUUAUUAAUCUCCAUUUACUAGUUAUUUGUUCUUUAAUGAUUCAAAAUUUUGUUAAAAUAGUACUGAGCUUACAUGUAAAUUAAUGUUAUGUGUAUAAAAAGUCGUAAGGGUCAGAGGUGAAUGCUUCAGUUAGUUUAUUUGGUGUUUAAACAUGCUGGUAAUACCAAAUGAGUUGUAUAAUGAUUUAGGUACUGUUGACUUUUCCAGAUUUUGCCUCUAUGUUGUUUUGCCAUGUUUGGGCCUAAUGCCAGGCCCAAGAAUAUUCACCCCAUCCCUUUUUCUUUUCCUUGCACUUUUUGUUUAAUGGAUUGGUUUGGCAACUAAAGCCCAUCGUCCUACUGGAUCUUUAUUUGGCUUGAUAUUAAUGUUGUGUGUAGUUGGCACCCAUUCUGCGAGAUGGGCUCAAUUUCGAGCCCAGUCCAAUGCAUGACUCGUGAGUCCCAGUUGGUCUGCAACUGGUUCAUUCUCUAUCGAGCAAUCAAAAUCACUUAAUUGCCUCAAUGUGUGGCUGUAACUAGGACCUUAGAUUAAAACUUCGAGUUAUAUAAAUUUUGAGUGGAUUCACCAAGAGCCUUAUAGUUUACUAAUUGGACGUAGUUAUGUUAGAGCGAGGUGUGCCAUAGUAAUUAAAUCACUUAUGGCCCUCAUUAAUUUUAUAGCCUAGAUAUAAAAGAAAUGAACUUCGUAGUUUGCUUUAGGCGCGUUGAUUAUAUAAUUAUCACGGCUAUACUAAAAUCCGGGUGUACAUUUCAUGUGACCCGGUUCUAAUUUUCGACAAGGUUAAAUAGAACGUGCCGUGAAUCACGGGUGCAUUUCAUAUAGCGUGGUUUUCGACGUGUUUUAAAUAACCUUGAAAUAACUCUUUAAAUAAAUAAAAGCGGCAAAAAAGUAAAAAAUGCACGUAUGUUUAAAAUGUGUAAUUAAUCAGAUAAUUAGGCCAAUGUUAAUAGUUGAGCGACCGUGCUAAAACCACGGAACCCGAGAAUGCCUAACACCUUCUCCCGGGUUAACAGAAUUCCUUACCCGGAUUUCUGUAUUUGCGGAAUAUAAAACAGAGUCAAUCUUUCCUUGAUUCGGGAUUUUUAACCGAUGACUUGGGACACCAUAAAUUAUCCCAAGUGGAGUCUCUGAUUUAAUAAAUAAUCUCGUUUCGAUUGUCACUUAAAUUUGAAAAACUCCCUUAUACCCUUUCGGGUGUAGGGAAAAGGAGGUGUGACAGCUCUGGCGACUCUGCUGGGAACUGAACCCAGAACUUUUGGUUCAGGGUUCAGAAUUUGAGCUUAGAAUAACUGUUAUAGUUGGCUUUUAUUUAUUAUCUGAUUUUUUAUAUGUUUGGGCUUAAUGUGCUAAAUGUUGCCUUUUACCGCUUUGAUAUUGUUGAAUUGUAUAUAAAUUGUUAUGAAUCCCUCCUCUCUCUGAGUCUUCUAAAUAAUUUGAGAAGGGUGCACUUCGUGUAGCUUCUCUUCUGUUAGAUUCAUAUCCCAAUUUUAGAACGAGGUUCGGACAAGUUGCGAAGCCGGUAAAACUUCUGUAUUCCCGGUACGCUGCCCCCCCCCCCCCACCUCCCCGGCUCGAGUUGUCCGCUCAUGUAAGCCAGGUCUAGUAACAAAUAAAGCCAGGUUUUCAAACCUAGUAUAACAUAGCCUCAUGUCGGAUCCCUAGUAGGAACGCUUGUUUGCAUCACGUGCAUUUGACUUUGGGGACUCAACACAGGGGUUGGGUCCAUCUAGGACAAGUGCACCCGAAAUCAAAAGAUCAUCCUGAUGCAUUUUACUUGCUACUUGUACAUUUAUUUGACUCGGAUUACAUGCUGAUCGACUUUUGGAAUAGGAAAAAAUUAAGAAAAACCAAAUUGAGGGGAGAGAGAGGAAAUUACCCGCAUGUGAAAAAAAACCUGGUGUCCAAAAUACCCCGAAACUCUACCAAAAUUUUCAAAAAAAAAGGAAAAAAGGCUAUUUCAAAUGUUUAUGCUUUCUGUUGCGUCAAAAUUGAUCGAACUUUGCAAGUUUUAUUCUCACCGGAUGUGGGAUACGCAGACAACCCUCAUCGGGUCCAACUCCAUUUUUGCAAAAUAACCCAAAAAAUAUGAAGUGUCACUAUUUUGUCAUAAAUGAAUUAGGUGACCCGUUCUUGUCUAAAAUAGCCAAAAUUCCCCAAAAAGACGCCGAAAGGUUGUUUUUGCAAGAAUAGCCACCUAGGGUCCUUUUCAAAUUUUGGUUGAUUAACAAACACAACCCUAAAAUUUUGUUUCUUGAGGUGCUGAAGGCUGUGGUCGCAAAAGUGUUUUGUUUCAAAUUGCAGUUUUCGAAAAUUGGUAUUUUCUCUUGGGUCAAAGUAAAACGUGGUCUUUUAACCAAUCACUUUAAAAUAAAUGUGCAGGAUGAGCACGAUUGAAAAUGAACAUUUCACAGUCCUCGAGGAAAUCCCAUUAGAACUCCAUAUGUGGUGGAAUGAUUUGGGGGAAGUCAGCCGAGAUACUGUGGUAAAAGCCUUGGGCGGUCUUGUUGGUCUCCUGAAGAUUAAGUCGAGAAAGGAUAUAAUUGAGGCGUUGAUACCCUUUUGGGACCCAGCGCAUAAUGUGUUCCAUCUUGCUGAUUUUGAGCUAACCCCUACGCUUGAGGAAGUAUGGGGCUAUGCUGGUUUUGGUGCGAAUCUCAGAAAUCAAUACCCAGUGGCACUUAGAACGGUGACUCCUCAUAAGUUUCUGGAUCUUCUAAGCAUCAGUCGGGAAGUUCAAGACAGAAAUUUGGCUAAGGGAUUCUGCACAUUCUACUUCUUAUACCGACGUUACAGAAAUCCGUGUGGUUUUGAGAUGCCAGAUAUAGGUUUUACUCAUUCGGGGAACAAAGAUAAGUGGGAAGCUCAGCGGGGACUGGCUUUUAUAGUGGCAUUCCUGGGUGUUUUGAUUUGCCUAAGAUAGGAUGGAAACAUAGAAUUGGGGCUUGUGAGAAUAGCCGACGUCAUGACUAAAAGGUCUAAUGGAACCAUUGUAACGAUGAUCUUGGAGGAGAUUUACCGAGCUCUAACUGUUUGCCGAGAAGGAGGAAAGUUUUUUGAGGGAUGCAAUAUGCUUCUACAACUCUGGAUGGAGGAACACCUCUGCCACCGUCCGGGGUACAUGAACUAUGGCAUGACCGGUCUUAAAUGUAUUGAAAAACAUGAAAAACGGGUGGAGGGCCAUGAGUUUCCGGAUAGUACGGAAGCAUGGUUCGCACAUUUGAGCUCCCUGACCGCAAACAAAGUUGAGUGGACAUUCGGGUGGCUCCCGGUCAAUGAAGCCAUUUACAUGUCGGCUAAAGUAUGUUUUCUUCUAUUAAUGGGUCUCCGGAGCAUUCAGCCUUACGCCCCGCACAGAGUUCUACGCUAGCUAGGUAAGUACCAGACUAUUCUGCAUGAUGAGGAUUUGAGUCGGCAGGUCAUCGAACUGGGACCAAAAGCAGCUUCCCCGAAAGAAAGGGUGCGUCGGAUUUGGCAUCAGUGUAGGUUCUUAGAGCCAAAAACUCAGGUACGGGAUCUGCCCAGAGGCGAGUUGGAACCUAGUUACACAACUUGGUACGGUAAAAGGUUUCAAGUCCAUCAAGAGCCCAAACGGCCCGCCAAAAGGCCCCAUGUCCAUCAAUUCAUUGAUGGAGCGCAAGAGCAAUGGGAUUGGUUGGCAAAAGAGGCAAGCUAUAGAGCCACAAUAAGCAAAUUGGAGGGACAUAUUCGAGACCUUAAAUUUGACAAAAGAGUACAAGUCGUUGCUGAUGAAGGGGAGAAAAAGAAAUUGGCCCAAGAAAACAAGGCCCUUCAAGCACAGAUCCAAAAAAUGAAAAUAGCUGCUGAGAAUCAGGAAAGGAGCUGAAAGGAUGAAAGACUCAUAAGUGGUCUUAGGAGGAAAAUAGCUGAGUGCGAAGAUGAUUUGGAAAAAUCCGAGGGUAAUCUGGUGAGAGCCCGGGCACAGUUAGCGAAGAACGCAGAGGGAGGAGCAGAGUUUGUCCAGCAAUUAAAAAGGAAAUAUGAGGGAGAAACCACCAAUUUGAAGGAAAAACUAACUACCCUUGAGAACGAGAUGGCCAAACAAACAAAAAGCUUCAAAGCAGAAAGAGAACACUGCUAUGCCCUGAUGUUGCAGUUAGAAAAAGACCUAUAACAACUUCAAGAGAAAAGUCAUACAGCUGAACAAGUUUUGGGGGCCAGGUCUCAGCAGAUCGGAUGGUUGCUACAAGAGAAGGGUAUUAUCAGAGAAAGGGUUAGGAGCAUUGCGGACUACAUUGUGAUGAAGUGCAAUGAGUGUGAAGACAUGACCAGGUCCAUGUUCUUCGCUUCUGUUAUGAUUUUUGUCCGACAGAUCAUGGAUGACCUAUUCCGCCUUCAAGAAGAUAUGGCGCAUAGGCUCGCGGCGAGACUGACUGAUGUCCUGCGGGCCCCUGGAGAAGUUGAGGCACUUAUGUAUUCAUGAUUUUCAUUCGAUUCUAUAUUUUUAUCUUUCUUCCAGAGUCUGUUAGUCCAUUUUCGAGUCUGUANNNNNNNNNNNNNNNNNNNNNNNNNNNNNNNNNNNNNNNNNNNNNNNNNNNNNNNNNNNNNNNNNNNNNNNNNNNNNNNNNUAUUUUAUUUUACACUUAUUCCCAGAACUACGCUUGGUCUGAUUCAUGCGGCGUCAUGAUAUGUAGGCAAUUCCCAUAGGAUUCGAUCAUAACCGUGAAAUGAAAAAAAAAGUAGAGGAGAGAAAACAAGAAAAACUGUGGGGAAAAAAUAAUGGCAAAAUAAGAGAGAAAAAGUGAGAGAAUAAAAUAAAAAAUAAAAAAUAAUAAUAAAAAAACAAGAACCAAGCAAAGAAAAGCAGGAAUGGAAAAGAGAGAGAAAGAAAUUGCAAAACAAAAAUUAGUGAAAGCCGGGAUAAUGCAAGCGGCCGUUCAAAUGCAUAAUAGAAAUGGUUAACUGCUUAGGUGCAUUGCAUCCCCAACGUGCGGUUACCUAUCUGUUAAGCUCUAAUCGCUAACGAGUUUGAUUGUUGUCAUCCAAUCAAGGCAGGUGGUUAGUUUGUUUGGCAUUCUGGAAACUCACCCGUACAACACCAGGUCCAAAGACAAGUUGCUCAUGGCUGGCCAAGAACUGGAUGCAAGUGUCAUUGAUCCGUCAAGGGAGGGGGAAGAGUCUGAUGUUAAUCUGAAAGAGGAGUUACAUAAGUUGAAACACCAAAUGGUAGAGAUGUACCAGGCAUGGGUGAAAGGGCAUCCACCACCAUCAUACCCUGCUAACCUUGCUUUCGUCCCGCCACUGGCUCAAUCCCAAGAACCUCUCACUACUGAUUCAUAUCUGGGCUUCUCCAUUUACCACCACUACCAAGACACCACUUUCCAAACCACACAAGCACCACCAGCUAAACCAAUCCCAUACCCCCCUCCACCAGCUACCCCUAUUUUCGUGGCACCCCUGCCUGCUACACUCUAUCGAUCCUCCAGUGAACCCUUAUUCGAGACCCAAGAUAACCAAUACUAUCCCCCGGAGCCUACUUUCAAGGCCCCAGAGCAUUACUCCUACACUCCUCGUUUCGACCUCCCUACUGAGACUGAGAAACCACUUAAAACCCCAGAGCAGGAGGAGAUGUUCAGGAAGGUAAGAAGCCUGGAACAAUCAUUUAGAAAUAUGUAGGGAUUAGGAGGCCAGGUGAGCGUAGCCUACAAAGAUUUGUGUCUAUUUUCCGAUGUUCAGUUGCCUGUUGGGUAUAAGAUGCCGAAGUUUGACUUGUAUGAUGGCCAUGGAGACCUGAUGGCCCAUUUGAGGGGAUUCUACAGUAAAAUGAGAGCAGUUGGUGGGAAAUAUGAGCUGUUGAUGGCGUACUUUAGCCAGAGUCUGAGUGGCACGUCAUUGGAGUGGUAAACUCGUCAGGAUCAUAGCAUAUGGUAUACAUGGGAUGAUUUGGCCCAAGCAUUCGCUCGUCAUUUCCAAUACAACAUCGAGAUUGUUCCAGAUCAUUUUUCUCUUACUAAGAUUGAGAAGAAGCCUAGUGAAAGUUUCAGGGAAUACGGUUUUCCCUGGAGAGAACAAGCGCCAAGAGUUAACCCCCCGAUGGAGGAGAGCGAAAUGGUAGAGUACUUUCUGCAGGCUCUGGAGCCUACCUACUUUGGCCAUCUGAUAUCGGCCAUAGGAAAGUCUUUCAACAAGGUAGUGAAGAUGGGUGGCAUGGUGGAAGAAGGGCUCAAAUCAAGCAAAAUCAUGAGUUACUCGGCCAUCAAAGCAACUACCCUAGCCAUUCAGAAUUGUACUGGAGGAGUGAUCGGAAAGAAGAAGAAAGAGGAUGUGGCAACAGUUGAUUCAGGAUCAUGGUUUAGACCCAAGGGCCCGUCACACCAUUAUACCCAGCCUCGACCUCAUUACCGAACCUACACCCAAACCCUAGACAAUCCACCCCAGCAUUACUUCCCAUCACCAGAUCCUCAGAUUUUUGUCCACCAUGCCCAGACAUAUACUCAACCUCCUGCCUAUGCACAAUGGCGUGCCCCACCACCACAAAACACCUACCCAGCUCCAUAAAAUGCUUAUCUACCCCCUCCCCCCCACGAGCCUACAGAAACCCUAACGGCCCAAGUUUCUGACCCAAUCUAGCAUUCAAAAAUGAGAGGUUGCAAUGAAAGAAAACUUUCACCCCGUUGGGGGAGUCUUAUACCAGUUUGUUCCAUAGAUUGAGGCAGUUGGAUAUGUUGAGGCCAAUUGAGUUGAAAUUGCCAAACCCUCCUCCAAAGAAUCUUGAUUACUCUGUGAGCUGUAAAUAUUGUUCUAGUGCUCUGGGGCAUGAUACGGAGAAGUGUUGGCAAUUGAAUAAUGCCAUCCAGGAGCCCAUUGACACAAACCGGAUUGAAGUCCAAACUCCAGAGGCACCCAACAUCAACCAAAACCCAUUGCCAACCCAUGAGGGAACAAACAUGAUCGAGAUAGUACACAAGGGGGGAGCCCAAGAAGCUUUCACAGUCUGUCAUGAUGAUUUGGUCCAGUGAGGUCAAGCCAGUCAAAAAACCAAUGGUUGAAGGAUCAGUGAACAAGUUGAGCAUGACAAACGAUGAACCAUCUAUGGUAGUUAAGAAAAGAUCCCCAAGUGAUGUUGUAGCAAAGCAAGAAAAGUCAAAAGUGGUCGUGCCAGGGUUGGCAAAUAAGCCCAUCAUAAUUGUAGAGGGUGCCCGUACAGAUCCUGUCAUCAUUAAGCCUGUAGCCCAAUUGUCGGUAAUCAGCACCAAGGCUAUCCUAUGGAACUGUGAACGGGUGAUAGUGACCUAUAAGGGAAAGGAAGUGAAAGAGGAAGUCAAUGAGGCCCGGGGAUUAACUCGUUCAGGGAGAUGCUUUGCCCCAAAAGAGUUAAGGAAAGCUAAAACAUCCAGAGAUAAUCCAGUUCUAGUAAAGAAAGCAGUCACUGAAGAAGAGGCGGAGGAGUUUUUGAGAAAAAUAGAGGUACAAGAAUACUCCAUCGUGGAGCAGCUGAGAAAGACGCCUGCCCAGAUUUCUUUGCUAUCGUUGUUGAUCCACUCAGAUGAGCAUUGUUGGGCCCUAAUGAAAAUUCUAAACGAAGCUCAUGUCCCCGACAAAAUUUCAAUGAACCAACUGGAGAAGAUCGCCAACAAAAUAUUUGAGGUGAACAGGGUCACCUUCUCUUAUGAUGAGUUGUUUGUGGAAGGUACUGAACACAACAAAGCUCUCUAUCUUACGAUAAAAUGUGAAGAUUCUGUGGUCACUAGGGUGUUAGUUGACAAUGGUUCCAGUGCAGACAUCUGCCCUUUUUCUACUCUGAACAAGUUGAAAGUUGAUGAUGAGAGAAAUCACAAGAACAACAUAUGCGUCCGAGGUUUCGACGGUGGAGGAAAAGACUUGGUCGGUGAUAUAGUGCUUGAAUUGACAAUAGGACUGAUGGAAUUCACCAUGGAGUUCCAGGUACUGGAUGUAGCCGUAUCUUAAAAUUUAUUGUUAGGUCGGCCUUGGAUACAUGCCGCCAAAGCAAUCCCGUCCACUUUGCACCAAAUGGUCAAGUUCGAGUGGGAUAGGCAGGAGAUCGUCGUGCAUGGUGAGGAGAAAUUAUGUGCUCACAGUGAUGCCUCCGUCCCGUUCAUUGAGGUUGAAGAUGACAAAGGGCCUUGGGUCUAUCAAGUUUUUGAAACAGUACCGGUCAAGAAGGUUCCAGAAGGGAAAUGAAUUCCAACUCCAAAGAUAACCUCUACAUCAGUCAUGGUGGCCUCUGAAAUGCUAAAAAAUGGCUUUGUGCUAGGUAAAGGUCCGGGUGCAUCCCUGCAGGGUAUCAUACAGCCAGUGUCCCUCCCUGAAAACUUGGGUACAUUCGGUCUUGGUUCAAACCUACAACGGCAGAUGUGAAAAGGGCUAAAAGGUUAAAACAGAAGGUGUGGGAAAUUCCAAAGCCUAUUCCGCGUCUCUCCAGGUUUUUUGUCAAGCUUGGUGCCAGGAAACGCCCAGUGACGACAGUUCCAAGUUCUGUGGUUGGCAUUGAUGAAGAGUUAAUUGAAAGGUUCCAGAGGUUGUUUGAUGAUGCAAACAUGGUAGAGGUUGGAGAAGGUUCUAGCAAAGCAGACGUGCAGUUUGUCGGGCCGAAUGUAAAUCUUAACAAUUGGAAAGCUACUCCUCUCCCUACUCUAAAGGAGUCUUGGUAGUUUGUUUUGUUUUCCUUUCUAUCUGGUUCAUUCCAGGGUUGUGACCCAGAUUUUUAUUUUCCGCUUGUUGAUGUACAAACUCUGUUAUCCUUUAUUUUUCAAUGAAAUGCAAUUUCCCUUUUCCAUCAUUCCUGAUAGUUUCAUAUUUGUUUUCUUUUCUUCUCUGUACAGUUCUUUUUAUGCUGGUUUCAAUGACAUGACAUGCAUGAGGAAUCUUUGGCUAGUCUUAAAAGUCAAUCUAAUUCUGAAAUAAUAAUCCAAGAAAUAGAGUGUGAUGAUGAAUCGGAAUNNNNNNNNNNNNNNNNNNNNNNNNNUAAAGUCCAAGAAGCAGUCUGAUCACGUCAAAGAUUUGAGAAAGUUUUUUCAAAGGCUCCGUAGGUACAAUCUCAAGCUCAAUCCUGCAAGUGCGCAUUUGGUGUUCCAUCGGGAAUACUCAUGGGGUUCAUAGUCAGUCGGCGGGGCAUUGAGUUGGAUCCGUCAAAGAUUAAAGCUAUCCAAGAAUUGCCACCACCAAAGAACAAGAUCGAGGUGAUGAGUCUGCUAGAGAGGCUGAACUACAUCAGCAGGUUUAUUGCUCAGCUCACUACAACUUGUGAGCCCAUCUUUAAGCUGCUAAAGAAGGAUGUUGUGGUCAAAUGGACUGAUGAGUGCCAGGAAAAAUUUGAUAAGAUCAAAGAGUAUUUGUCGAACCCACCUGUGUUGGUCCCGCCAGAACCUGGAAGACCUUUGAUUCUUUAUUUGACAGUCUUGGAUAACUCAUUUGGUUGUGUGUUGGGUCACCAGACUUCACUGGCAGGAAAGAGCAAGCUAUCUACUAUCUCAGCAAGAAGUUCACAUCUUAUGAGGUUAAGUAUACUCCCCUUGAAAGGACAUGUUGCGCCCUAACUUGGGUAGUACAAAAGUUGAAGCAUUAUUUGUCAUCUUACACUACUUACCUCAUUUCUCGCCUGGAUCCUCUAAAGUAUAUCUUUCAAAAGCCGAUGCCUAUAAGAAGGCUUGCAAAAUGGCAGAUCUUGCUCACAGAGUUUGACAUCAUAUAUGUGACUCUGACGGCGAUAAAAGCCCAAGCUUUGACCGAUCACUUGGCCGAGAACCCGGUCGAUGAAGAAUAUGAACCAUUGAGAACUUAUUUUCCCUAUGAAGAGGUGAUGCAUAUUGACAAAGUGGAGCAAGUUGAAAAACCAGGUUGGAAACUUUUCUUUGACGGAGCCGCUAACAUGAAAGGUGUCAGAAUAGGGUCUAUGCUUAUUUCUGAGAUAGGUCAUCAUUACCUUGUCACGGCCUAGCUUCGUUUCUACUGUACCAACAACAUGGCUGAAUACGAGGCAUGCAUUUUGGGAUUAAGGAUAGUCGUGGACAUGGGAAUCCAGGAAGUCUUGGUCUUGGGAGACUCGGACCUUCUGGUGCACCAGAUUCAAGGAGAAUGGGAGACACGGGAUUUAAAGCUUAUACCGUAUCGAAAAUGUCUACAUGAUCUUUGUCAACGAUUUCGAUCAAUAGAAUUCAGACAUAUUCCAAGGAUCCAUAACAAGGUUGCCGAUGCUUUUGCUACAUUGGCGUCAAUGUUACACCAUCCGGACAAAGCUUAUGUUGACCCUCUGCAUAUUCAAGUUCGUGAUCAGCACGCCUAUUGUAUGUGGUUGAGGAAGAAAUCGAUGGUGAGCCAUGGUUCCAUGACAUCAGGAUGUAUAUUAGGAUGGGGGUAUAUCCGGUACAAGCCGCAGGUGAUCAAAAGAGAACAAUUCGGUGUUUGGUUAAUGGAUUUUUCUUGAGCGGGGGAGUCUUGUACAGAAGAACUCCAGAUCUUGGGCUGUUGAGGUGCAUCGAUGCAAAGCAAGCCACGACUAUAAUGACCGAAGUACAUGUCGGAGUUUGCGGGCCACAUAUGAUCGGGUAUGUUCUGGCGAAGAAAAUUCUUCGAGUGGGGUAUUAUUGGCUCACCAUGGAACGAAAUUACAUCAGCUUUGUGCGCAAGUGUCAUCAAUGCCAAGUACACGAAGAUUUGAUUCAUUCUCCGCCAUUUGCAUUACACACAAUGUUCGCACCAUGGCCCUUUGUUGCUUGGGGUAUGGAUGUCGUCGGACCAAUUAAACCAGCAGCAUCCAAUGGACACAGGUUUAUUCUGGUAGCCAUUGACUAUUUCACUAAGUGGGUGGAAUCUAAAACUUUCAAAUCUAUAACCAAGAAGGCAGUGGUCGAUUUUGUUCAUUCGAAUAUCAUUUGUCAGUUCAGAAUCCCAAAGGUGAUCAUUACAGAUAAUGGUGUUAAUCUUAACAGUCAUUUGAUGAAGGAAGUGUGUCAACAGUUUAAGAUUACACAUCGAAAUUCCACCCCGUACCGCCCCAAGGAGAAUGGAGCAGUCGAGGCAGCCAAUAAACAUAUAAAGAAGAUACUUCAAAAAAUGAUGCAAGGUUCCAGGCAAUGGCAUGAAAAGUUGCAUUUCGCAUUGUUGGGUUAUCGCACUACUGUUUGCACUUCAGUAGGUGCAACUUCUUAUUUGUUGGUAUAUGACACUGAAGUAGUGAUACCCGUGGAAGUUGAAAUUUCGUCCCUUCGGAUUGUUGCUGAAGCCGAAAUCGAUGAUGAUGAAUGGGUCAAAACCCGUCUGGAGCAAUUGAGUCUGAUUGACGAGAAAAAAUUAGCAGUAGUGUGUCAUGGACAGUUGUAUCAAAAGAGAAUGGAAAGAGAAUACAAAAGAAGGUGCGUCCUCGGAAAUUUGAAGUGGGUCAGCAAGUAUUAAAACGCAUCCUUCCACAUCAGGCUGAAGCAAAAGGCAAAUUCGCCCCAAAUUGGCAGGGCCCGUUCAUUGUAACAAGAGUAUUGUCCAAUGGUGCUUUGUAUUUAACAGAUAUAGAGGACAAAUGUGUAUAUAUGGCUAUCAAUUCUGAUGCAGUCAAAAGAUAUUAUGUAUGAUUUCUUUGGUUUAAACUGUGUUUGUUUGUACUUGGCAUGUUUUGAAGAUUGAAAUGAUGAAGGCAUUUUAUUCUGCUAUCUAAACACUUUAUCCUUUGUUACCUCUUUAAGCCUUAUUUAUUUCCUUUAUACCCCCCCCCCCCCUUGGAAUCAGUAGCAAAAUUCAGAAGCACGAACGCAAAAGGAAAGUAAAGAAGAAAAAGAGAAGAGAAAAGAAAAAGAAAAGAAUGGAAAAGAGUGGAAAAAAAGAGAGAUAAGAAAAAAGAAAAGAAAAGGAAAAGAAAGAGAAAAGUACCAAAACAAAGCAAUUCCUAUGACAUAAACUACGUUCGACCUGAUUCUUUUUAAGGAUACGUAGGCAGCCUCACGGUUCGAUCCCAUCAAAAUAAAAAUUCAAAAGUCCCCAAGCAAAGAAACUGGGGCAGAAGUUGUGGUUGUUGCAAGAGAUCUGAUUCCAAAAGUUGUAAUUUUGAACUCAUUCAAAUUGUUUUGAGCCUUUCUAUAUCCUUUCUUUCUAACCCUAUCCAAAAGCCUACAUUACGGCCCAAAGAAAGACCUUCCGAUCAGUCUUCGAGAGAUGCCAAGUCGAGCAAGUAGAGGUGUGAUUCAUAUCAGGGGAAACACUCUAGUCUAAGCAAUAAAAAUGAAAAUGAGAGAGUCUUAUUGGUGAAAACCUUCUUGGGUACCGUAAGGCAAUGGAAAACUGAGAGAAAUUAAAAAAUGAGAGAGUCUUACAGGUGAAAACCCUCACGGGCACCGUAAGGCGACAGUAGGUUUGGGAUGAAUAAAUGAGAGAGGGUUGCUGGUGAGAACCCUUCAGGGCACCGCAAGACGAAUAAGGUUGUUGACUUUGCAAAGGAAUCGGAUUAUGGGAACCCCAGGGAUAAAGUGUGAAGACUGAAAAGGAUUGACCGAAUGGACUAGGCUGUUUAAUCCGAAAUGCAUGUCAUGAUCAUUGGUUCCAGCAGCUUCACUCAGAUAAGUCCCUUUUUCCUUACUUCCUCAAACAGUCCUUCUAUUUUGAUUUUUCUUCCCUACUCAUAACUCUCGAAGUCAUUGCAUUUCAUUUCUUUUGGGUUUAUAUCUCUAAGGUUUUUCCCAAUGUUAGCCUUGUUUAAGCAAGUAAGAAAGGAUUUCAAAGCUUACUACCAACUUCCAAAAUUGCACAAAGCAAAGUGCGGCCACAGCUUAGCAGAAAUAGCAUGAUGCGAAAGUGAAAAAUAAGGUGUUAACGAAAGUUCAGGCGGUCGAGUGGUUUGUGAACCUUGUGGGAGAUACAAAGGUUCAGGUAGAAAGGUCAGAAAUGUAUAACAACGGGUUGGGUGUAGAGCACUCAGGUCAUCCAGGGUCCUGCGGUUGAGAUUCAGUCAGAAGUUAAACAAUUCUUAGCCAGUUCAAAGCAGCCAGAGUAAAGCACGGCAAUGGGGAGGCCACCUUCAGCAAGAAAGCCACAAACUAGUCACCAUGUUUUUCAAACUGAUAAAGUUUUUCUUUGAUUAAAACAGGGGCAGGAAAUCUCGUUUCUCCGGAGGAACCCUCCAUAAGGAAAGCAUGUACCGGACAGGUUCGAUCGUAAAUUCUUAGAACUCUCAUGGACAAUGGGAUUUAGUUAAAAUUCAGAACAUUCAUAAGUAACAAGAUCUAGCAUAAGCUCUACUUUAAGUAACAAAAAUACAACGCAUUACAUUUAGGAUUUAUUUUUACAUUUUUGAGGUUAAUUAGUGAAUUAGUUGCUUUAUUAAAAUUAAAAAUCACAAAAAAUUUGGCUUACUUUUACAUUUUAGCCUUUGAAUUUCAAAUUAGUGAUUUCCUCUCUUAAUUUAGGAGUAAUUAAUUCUUAUAAAUAUUAUAGUAGAUACUUAAUUUUUUUAAAUUAAUUAUUUUAGGAGUUUUUAUUUAGAUUUUAAUUAUUUAAUAGGAAAAGAGAAAAAUUGAAAAAAAAAAAAGAAAGGAAAAGAGGAUUAAAAAUAUGGCUGAUUUUUAUUGGACCAAUUGUUAAAGCCCAAACCCUUUUUCUCACCAACCCACCCCGGCCCAGCCAGUAACCCAGUCCAAUUUCCCCUAUUAGUUGAACGACGUUGUUUCCCCCCUUAAAAUCCCAACCGUUGAUCUCCAUUGAUCAAAUGGUUGGGAACUAAGGCUUCCCUUGAUAUUUAAGUGUCGGAACUGGUACCCCCCCCCCCCAGUCAACCCCCUCUCACUUCACCUUCUCUGCAGAAACCCUAGAGACACCGCCUUGAAAUCCUCUGCCAGCGACGACGCCUCAGACCAUCCCAAACACCACCAAUUUAACAUCCUAGAUUCCCCGUCACCUCCUCUUUCAGAAUAUCCCAACCGAUUCCCUCAAAUCCCCGCCUAGGUAUUCGAAUAUUAGAUCUAAACUCAAACCCAAAAACCCUAAUUCAAUCAAACCACUCCAAAAUCACACCCCCACACUCUUCACACUCCUCUGAACCCUAAACUACCAUCACCUUCCCAAAAAACCCCCACCC
RNAcentral lists this long non-coding RNA (16181 nucleotides) under Nicotiana tabacum (common tobacco). RNAcentral's name for it is "long non-coding RNA (NTAB_LNC012962)". The record is from RNAcentral. Lineage: Eukaryota; Viridiplantae; Streptophyta; Magnoliopsida; Solanales; Solanaceae.